AAUGGUUCAUUCAAAUUUCUGCCCUAUCAACUUUCGAUUGUUGGGUCUUGGCCCAACAAUGGGUUCAACGGGUAACGGGGAAUUAGGGUUCUAUUCCGGAGAGGGAGCCUGAGAAACGGUACCACAUCCAAGGAAGGCAGCAGGCGCGCAAAUUACCCAAUCCUGAUUCAGGGAGGUAGUGACAAUAAAUACUGAUACAGGGCUCUUUUGGGUCUUGUAAUUGGCAAUGAGUACAAUUUAAAUCCCUUAACGAGGAACAAUUGGAGGGCAAGUCUGGUGCCAGCAGCCGCGGUAAUUCCAGCUCCAAUAGCGUAUAUUCAAAGUUGUUGCAGUUAAAAAGCUCGUAGUUGAACUUCAGAUCUGGUUGAGUGGUCCGCCUAACGGUGUGUUACUGCUUGACUGGGUACUUGUCUCUUGGUGAACCGUUGUGUCCUUUAUUGGAUGGC
This 446-nucleotide ribosomal RNA is filed under the name uncultured fungus. RNAcentral's name for it is "bacterial SSU rRNA". It matches the Rfam family "Eukaryotic small subunit ribosomal RNA", at positions 289 to 732 of the family's 1831-position model. The record is from RNAcentral. Lineage: Eukaryota; Fungi.